UACGAAGGCGGCUAGCGUUGGUCGGAAUUACUGGGCGUAAAGCGCACGUAGGCGGAUUCUUAAGUCUGGGGUGAAAGCCCGGAGCUCAACUCCGGAACUGCCUUGGAUACUGGGAGUCUCGAGGAUGGAAGAGGUCAGUGGAAUGCCGAGUGUAGAGGUGAAAUUCGUAGAUAUUCGGCGGAACACCAGUGGCGAAGGCGACUGGCUGGUCAAUUUCUGACGCUGAGGUGUGAAAGUGUGGGGAGCAAACAGG
This 253-nucleotide ribosomal RNA is filed under the name uncultured bacterium. RNAcentral describes it as "partial 16S ribosomal RNA". It matches the Rfam family "Bacterial small subunit ribosomal RNA", at positions 524 to 776 of the family's 1533-position model. The record is from RNAcentral.